This 62-nucleotide transfer RNA is filed under the name Ceraphron sp. MM-2014. RNAcentral describes it as "tRNA-Thr". Lineage: Eukaryota; Metazoa; Arthropoda; Insecta; Hymenoptera; Ceraphronidae. The record is from RNAcentral.
AGCUAAUUAAUUUAAUAAAAAUAUUAGUCUUGUAAACUAAAAAUAAACACCUUUAUUAGCUU